RNAcentral lists this ribosomal RNA (206 nucleotides) under uncultured bacterium. RNAcentral's name for it is "partial 16S ribosomal RNA". It matches the Rfam family "Bacterial small subunit ribosomal RNA", at positions 568 to 774 of the family's 1533-position model. The record is from RNAcentral.
AGCGCAGGCGGUUUGAUAAGUCUGAAGUUAAAGGCUGUGGCUCAACCAUAGUUCGCUUUGGAAACUGUCAAACUUGAGUGCAGAAGGGGAGAGUGGAAUUCCAUGUGUAGCGGUGAAAUGCGUAGAUAUAUGGAGGAACACCGGUGGCGAAAGCGGCUCUCUGGUCUGUAACUGACGCUGAGGCUCGAAAGCGUGGGGAGCAAACA